RNAcentral lists this ribosomal RNA (576 nucleotides) under Streptomyces sp. RNAcentral's name for it is "bacterial SSU rRNA". It matches the Rfam family "Bacterial small subunit ribosomal RNA", at positions 92 to 682 of the family's 1533-position model. Lineage: Bacteria; Bacillati; Actinomycetota; Actinomycetes; Kitasatosporales; Streptomycetaceae. The record is from RNAcentral.
UAAGUGGCGAACGGGUGAGUAACACGUGGGCAAUCUGCCCUUCACUCUGGGACAAGCCCUGGAAACGGGGUCUAAUACCGGAUAUCACUCCUGCAGGCAUCUGCGGGGGUCGAAAGCUCCGGCGGUGAAGGAUGAGCCCGCGGCCUAUCAGCUUGUUGGUGAGGUAAUGGCUCACCAAGGCGACGACGGGUAGCCGGCCUGAGAGGGCGACCGGCCACACUGGGACUGAGACACGGCCCAGACUCCUACGGGAGGCAGCAGUGGGGAAUAUUGCACAAUGGGCGAAAGCCUGAUGCAGCGACGCCGCGUGAGGGAUGACGGCCUUCGGGUUGUAAACCUCUUUCAGCAGGGAAGAAGCGAAAGUGACGGUACCUGCAGAAGAAGCGCCGGCUAACUACGUGCCAGCAGCCGCGGUAAUACGUAGGGCGCAAGCGUUGUCCGGAAUUAUUGGGCGUAAAGAGCUCGUAGGCGGCUUGUCACGUCGAUUGUGAAAGCCCGAGGCUUAACCUCGGGUCUGCAGUCGAUACGGGCUAGCUAGAGUGUGGUAGGGGAGAUCGGAAUUCCUGGUGUAGCGGU